This 1836-nucleotide long non-coding RNA is filed under the name Physcomitrium patens. RNAcentral describes it as "long non-coding RNA (PPAT_LNC004543)". Lineage: Eukaryota; Viridiplantae; Streptophyta; Bryopsida; Funariales; Funariaceae. The record is from RNAcentral.
UUACUUUUUCCCUUUUGUCUCUCCCCUUUGGAAUGCAAGGAAGGAUCACCAGAUUGGGAUAUCUGGAACCUUACAAAUCUGGGGCACAGAAUAGAAACUGGGAAAUCUGCAAAUAGAUUCUUUUUUCAUUUGUAUGCACACUUUGUUCAUAAAUUUUAUGUUUUCUCAUGUGGAUUUGGUUGGCAAUGUUCAUAUGACUGUGUCAUUAUGCAGAUCCAACCCAAUUGUGGGUUGCCCAUGCUGCUCAUGGAUCCAAAUUUUAGGGCUAUAAUCCAACACUUGGAAAUAGGUUGUAGCAAUUCACACACAGUGUUUUAAAAAAUAAAUAAAUAAAUAAAUAAGUUUUAUAUUUGUAUUCUUAAAAACGUCUUUAUUUUAUCAAAUAUAAUCAUCAAAAAUAUACCAAGAUCUAUCGAAAUCCAAAUUUGUUGCUAUGAAUUUAUACUCCAUGGCACAAUAACCCAUGUUUCUCACUAUAUAGAUGCUAUCAAUUAUUACGACAACUAUUCAAGCCAAACUUCAAAAUAAUGAAGUAAGUUAAUUUUGACAAAAGAAAUGUAACGUUUCAUGGGCUUACUCCAACUACACUCAUGGUAUUGUAAAUUUUAUGUUUUAUCUAUGUUAUGAAAUUAUUUUAUUUUAUUUUAAAAUAAAAUUUAGAAUUUUGUUUAUUUUAUUAGAUUUAUGACAUGAAAAUAUUUAAUUUGUUGUUAUUAUUGACUAUUCAAUUUAUUCUUUUAUUUUAAAAAUUUUAGUUCAUGGUUGUUAAUUGUAAUAAAAUUGAAAAUUUAUCUUUUUUCAGAAAUCUUCAAUUAAACAAUGGAGUCAAAUUAUAUUAGAUUUACAAACUGAUUACAAUAGUAAAAAUAUGUUCAACACUCAUUUCGUUAUUCCCUGUUGCUUGUCCAAUGCUUACUUUCUUCAAAAAUAAUUAAAAUUCAAAUGAUACGUUUAUUUUCUGAUAAAUUUUAAAAAUGUUUGUCUCAAAUUCUGCACAAUAAUUCAAUUUUGUGUUUUUGAAAUAAAUAAAAUUAAAGAUACUUGUAUUUUGAAAUAUCUGUCCCCAAGCAACUCACAUUGAACUUAUAAUUUUAUCUACUAAUUUAUGUAUGCAUGGAAAUGGCAUAAGCUCAUUUUAAGGACUUGUUUUUCUUUCCCCUUAUCCAAGUCAUGAAUGUUUUGGGUAAUAGGUGAAUUCUUGGAUAUGAUGGAAAAGAAUUAAACAAUUGUAAACAAUUUUAAACAAAACCUUUUUGUGUGCCAAAUGUUUCAGUGUUCAUUCCUUCAUUCAUUCGUAUUUGUGUAUAUACAUGAUUUCAUAAAAUAUAAUAUAAUAUAACAUAUAUUUUUGGCAAUAUUUUCUACACAAAACAAAAACCGUAACGGAAAUAAAUGUUAAAAUGAAUGCGUCAUAUGCACAAUGUUGUCAAUGGUUGUUAGUGCGGGACCGCAAAAGAAUUCCGAGGUUAUCACAAGACGCACAUCCUCUCACUUGCCAUGUGAGUACCAUGUUUGAAACUGAUGCAGCAUUUCAUGUUUUGUUCAAUUAUUGUAUGAAGUGAGGGACUCAAUAUUUCGUGAGUGUAAAAGCGUAAUGUGGGUGGUGAUAAGCAUACUUUGUUAACGUAGGAACCAUUUCGAUUCUUUCCUACGUAGUCCACUCUUCCAAAACCAUGAAGUACAAUUCCGUCAUGUCCACAAGCGUCGGCAGACCUAUCGCCAGAUAUAAAGAUAGACUCAUUGGCAGACAGACGACAGACAGACAGACAGAUAGUAGAUAGUAGAUAGAUAGAUAGAUCAGUGUUCUGUCUGUAUGUUUCGACCGGGGCAAACUCA